RNAcentral lists this ribosomal RNA (869 nucleotides) under uncultured archaeon. RNAcentral describes it as "bacterial SSU rRNA". It matches the Rfam family "Archaeal small subunit ribosomal RNA", at positions 1 to 878 of the family's 1478-position model. The record is from RNAcentral.
CUCCGGUUGAUCCUGCCGGACCUGACUGCUAUCGGAUUGGUACUAAGCCAUGCGAGUCGUUGUAGCAAUACAAGGCGGACGGCUCAGUAACACGUAGUCAACCUAACCUAUGGACGUGGAUAACCUCGGGAAACUGAGAAUAAACCGCGAUAGAUCAUUAUGCCUGGAAUGGCUUAUGGUUCAAACAAUUUAUUGCCGUAGGAUGGGACUGCGGCCUAUCAGCUUGUUGGUGAGGUAAUGGCCCACCAAGGCUAUAACAGGUACGGGCUCUGAGAGGAGAAGCCCGGAGAUGGGUACUGAGACACGGACCCAGGCCCUAUGGGGCGCAGCAGGCGAGAAACCUUAGCAAUGUGCGAAAGCACGACUAGGUUAAUCCGAGUGAUUUCUGUUGAAGAAAUCUUUUGUCAGUCGUAAAACCACAGACGAAUAAGGGGUGGGCAAGUCUGGUGUCAGCCGCCGCGGUAAUACCAGCACCUCGAGUGGUCAGGAGGUUUAUUGGGCCUAAAGCAUCCGUAGCCGGCUACGCAAGUCUCCGGUUAAAUCCAGCUGCUCAACAGAUGGGCUGCCGGAGAUACUACAUAGCUAGGGAGCGGGAGAGGUAGACGGUAUUCUGUGGGUAGGGGUAAAAUCCACUGAUCCAUAGAGGACCACCAGUGGCGAAGGCGGUCUACCAGAACGCGUUCGACGGUGAGGGAUGAAAGCUGGGGGAGCAAACCGGAUUAGAUACCCGGGUAGUCCCAGCUGUAAACGAUGCAAACUCGGUGAUGCAUUGGCUUAUGGCCAAUGCAGUGCCGCAGGGAAGCCGUUAAGUUUGCCGCCUGGGAAGUACGGACGCAAGUCUGAAACUUAAAGGAAUGGGCGGGGGAGCA